UUACAGGUAACAAGGUUUCCGUAGGUGAACCUGCGGAAGGAUCAUUACAGUAUUCUUUUUGCCAGCGCUUAAUUGCGCGGCGAAAAAACCUUACACACAGUGUUUUUUGUUAUUACAAGAACUUUUGCUUUGGUCUGGACUAGAAAUAGUUUGGGCCAGAGGUUUACUGAACUAAACUUCAAUAUUUAUAUUGAAUUGUUAUUUAUUUAAUUGUCAAUUUGUUGAUUAAAUUCAAAAAAUCUUCAAAACUUUCAACAACGGAUCUCUUGGUUCUCGCAUCGAUGAAGAACGCAGCGAAAUGCGAUAAGUAAUAUGAAUUGCAGAUUUUCGUGAAUCAUCGAAUCUUUGAACGCACAUUGCGCCCUCUGGUAUUCCAGAGGGCAUGCCUGUUUGAGCGUCAUUUCUCUCUCAAACCUUCGGGUUUGGUAUUGAGUGAUACUCUUAGUCGAACUAGGCGUUUGCUUGAAAUGUAUUGGCAUGAGUGGUACUGGAUAGUGCUAUAUGACUUUCAAUGUAUUAGGUUUAUCCAACUCGUUGAAUAGUUUAAUGGUAUAUUUCUCGGUAUUCUAGGCUCGGCCUUACAAUAUAACAAACAAGUUUGACCUCAAAUCAGGUAGGAUUACCCGCUGAACUUAAGCAUACUAA
RNAcentral lists this ribosomal RNA (645 nucleotides) under Debaryomyces hansenii. RNAcentral describes it as "eukaryotic LSU rRNA". The stretch from base 247 to 400 matches the Rfam family "5.8S ribosomal RNA". Lineage: Eukaryota; Fungi; Ascomycota; Pichiomycetes; Serinales; Debaryomycetaceae. The record is from RNAcentral.